RNAcentral lists this transfer RNA (74 nucleotides) under Candidatus Liptonbacteria bacterium RIFCSPLOWO2_01_FULL_45_15. RNAcentral's name for it is "tRNA-Ala". It matches the Rfam family "tRNA". From Rfam's summary of the family: Transfer RNA (tRNA) molecules are approximately 80 nucleotides in length. Lineage: Bacteria; Candidatus Liptoniibacteriota. The record is from RNAcentral.
GGGCCUAUGGUACAGUGGUAGCACACGGCAUUCGCAUUGCCGGGACGGCGGUUCGAUUCCGCCUAGGUCCACAA